Molecule: ribosomal RNA, 301 nt
Filed under: uncultured bacterium
Lineage: Bacteria
Description: partial 16S ribosomal RNA
Rfam family: Bacterial small subunit ribosomal RNA
Source: RNAcentral
CAGCAGCCGCGGUAAUACGGAGGGUGCGAGCGUUAAUCGGAAUUACUGGGCGUAAAGCGUACGCAGGCGGUUUGUUAAGUCAGAUGUGAAAUCCCCGAGCUUAACUCGGGAACUGCAUUUGAAACUGGCAGGCCAGAGUCUCGUAGAGGGGGGUAGAAUUCCAGGUGUAGCGGUGAAAUGCGUAGAGAUCUGGAGGAAUACCGGUGGCGAAGGCGGCCCCCUGGACAAAGACUGACGCUCAGGUGCGAAAGCGUGGGGAGCAAACAGGAUUAGAUACCCGUGUAGUCCCUGUCUCUUAUAC